Molecule: ribosomal RNA, 476 nt
Filed under: uncultured bacterium
Lineage: Bacteria
Description: partial 16S ribosomal RNA
Rfam family: Bacterial small subunit ribosomal RNA
Source: RNAcentral
AUUAACGCUGGCGGCGUGCAUAACACAUGCCAGUCGAACGAUGAAGAUUAUUAGACUUCUUCGGAAUGAAAAUAAUUGGAUUAGUGGCGGACGGGUGAGUAACGCGUGAGUAACCUGCCUUACACAAGGGGAUAGCCGUUGGAAACGACGAAUAAUACCCUAUGAAACUAUCACUUCGCAUGAAGCGAUAGUCAAAGUGUUAGCGGUGUAAGAUGGACUUGCGUCUGAUUAGCUAGUUGGUGAGAAAAAAGCCCACCAAGGCAACGAUCAGUAGCCGGCUUGGGAGAGUGUACGGCCACAUUGGGACUGGGACACGGCCCAGACUCCGACGGGAGGCAGCAGUGGGGAAUUUUGCACAAUGGGGGAAACCCUGAUGCAGCGACGCCGCGUGAUUUAGAAGGCCUUCGGGUUGUAAAAAUCUUUUGUAUAGGAAGAAAAUGACAGUACUAUACGAAUAAGGUCCGGCUAAUUACGUG